CCUCAAAGAGGGGGACAACAGUUGGAAACGACUGCUAAUACCGCAUAAGCCCACGGGUCGGCAUCGACCAGAGGGAAAAGGAGCAAUCCGCUUUGAGAUGGCCUCGCGUCCGAUUAGCUAGUUGGUGAGGUAAUGGCCCACCAAGGCAACGAUCGGUAGCCGGACUGAGAGGUUGAACGGCCACAUUGGGACUGAGACACGGCCCAGACUCCUACGGGAGGCAGCAGUGGGGAAUAUUGCACAAUGGGGGAAACCCUGAUGCAGCGACGCCGCGUGGAGGAAGAAGGUCUUCGGAUUGUAAACUCCUGUUGUUGAGGAAGAUAAUGACGGUACUCAACAAGGAAGUGACGGCUAACUACGUGCCAGCAGCCGCGGUAAAACGUAGGUCACAAGCGUUGUCCGGAAUUACUGGGUGUAAAGGGAGCGCAGGCGGGAAGACAAGUUGGAAGUGAAAUCCAUGGGCUCAACCCAUGAACUGCUUUCAAAACUGUUUUUCUUGAGUAGUGCAGAGGUAGGCGGAAUUCCCGGUGUAGCGGUGGAAUGCGUAGAUAUCGGGAGGAACACCAGUGGCGAAGGCGGCCUACUGGGCACCAACUGACGCUGAGGCUCGAAAGUGUGGGUAGCAAACAGGAUUAGAUACCCUGGUAGUCCACACCGUAAACGAUGA
RNAcentral lists this ribosomal RNA (667 nucleotides) under uncultured bacterium. RNAcentral's name for it is "bacterial SSU rRNA". It matches the Rfam family "Bacterial small subunit ribosomal RNA", at positions 129 to 812 of the family's 1533-position model. The record is from RNAcentral.